AACGAACGCUGGCGGCAUGCCUAACACAUGCAAGUCGAACGAGACCUUCGGGUCUAGUGGCGCACGGGUGCGUAACGCGUGGGAACCUGCCCUUAGGUUCGGAAUAACUCCCCGAAAGGGGUGCUAAUACCGGAUAAUGUCUUCGGACCAAAGAUUUAUCGCCUUUGGAUGGGCCCGCGUUGGAUUAGCUAGUUGGUAGGGUAAAAGCCUACCAAGGCGACGAUCCAUAGCUGGUCUGAGAGGCUGAUCAGCAACACUGGGACUGAGACACGGCCCAGACUCCUACGGGAGGCAGCAGUGGGGAAUAUUGGACCAUGGGCGAAAGCCUGAUCCAGCAAUGCCGCGUGAGUGAUGAAGGCCUUAGGGUUGUAAAGCUCUUUUACCCGGGAUGAUAAUGACAGUACCGGGAGAAUAAGCUCCGGCUAACUCCGUG
Molecule: ribosomal RNA, 433 nt
Filed under: uncultured bacterium
Lineage: Bacteria
Description: partial 16S ribosomal RNA
Rfam family: Bacterial small subunit ribosomal RNA
Source: RNAcentral